GUUCCAGACCAUAUGAGUAUUUGGACCGUACGCGUACGGUCCGGACCGUAUACGUAUACUCGUACGGUCCGACCAUACGCGUACGGUCGGACCGUAUGAGUAUACGCGUAUGGUCCAGUACGAGCUGACCAUACAUGUUAUUAGAUCAUAUGGGUUAAAUUUAAAAAAAUUAACAUUAAUCACAAUCUUUAUUUUCAGAUUUACUAAUUUAAUAUUAUUACAACUACACGGAUAAAAUGAACAAAUGAACAAUUGAAAUUAAAUAUUUGUUUAAUUGUAUAUCUUGAUCCUAAUUUUGGU
RNAcentral lists this long non-coding RNA (300 nucleotides) under Mytilus galloprovincialis (Mediterranean mussel). Lineage: Eukaryota; Metazoa; Mollusca; Bivalvia; Mytilida; Mytilidae. The record is from RNAcentral.